This 795-nucleotide ribosomal RNA is filed under the name uncultured Bacteroidota bacterium. Its description in RNAcentral is "bacterial SSU rRNA". It matches the Rfam family "Bacterial small subunit ribosomal RNA", at positions 61 to 835 of the family's 1533-position model. Lineage: Bacteria; Pseudomonadati; Bacteroidota. The record is from RNAcentral.
GUCGAACGCGAAAGGCCCCUUCGGGGGCCGAGUAGAGUGGCGUCCGGGUGAGUAACACGUAGGUAAUCUACCUCUGGGUGGGGAAUAACGACCGGAAACGGUCGCUAAUACCGCAUAAUGCAGCGGCACCACAUGGUGACAGUUGUUAAAGCGGGGGAUCGCAAGACCUCGCGCCUAGAGAGGAGCCUGCGGCGGAUUAGCUAGUUGGCAGGGUAACGGCCUACCAAGGCAACGAUCCGUAGCCGGCCUGAGAGGGCGGUCGGCCACACUGGCACUGACACACGGGCCAGACUCCUACGGGAGGCAGCAGUCGGGAAUUUUGGGCAAUGGGCGAAAGCCUGACCCAGCAACGCCGCGUGAAGGAUGAAGCUUUUCGGAGUGUAAACUUCAUAAGAAUGGGACGAAUAAGGAAGGGCUAAUACCCCUUUUGAUGACGGUACCAUUUGUAAGCUCCGGCUAACUCCGUGCCAGCAGCCGCGGUAAUACGGGGGGAGCAAGCGUUGUUCGGAUUUACUGGGCGUAAAGGGCGCGUAGGCGGCGCAACAAGUCACUUGUGAAAUCUCCGGGCUUAACCCGGAGCGGUCAAGUGAUACUGUCGUGCUAGAGUGCGGAAGGGGCUACUGGAAUUCUCGGUGUAGCGGUGAAAUGCGUAGAUAUCGAGAGGAACACCUGCGGCGAAGGCGGGUAGCUGGGCCGACACUGACGCUGAUGCGCGAAAGCCAGGGGAGCGAACGGGAUUAGAUACCCCGGUAGUCCUGGCCUUAAACGAUGGAUACUUGGUGUCCGGGGUUACAU